CCUACGGGUGGCAGCAGUGGGGAAUAUUGCACAAUGGGGGAAACCCUGAUGCAGCGACGCCGCGUGAGCGAUGAAGUAUUUCGGUAUGUAAAGCUCUAUCAGCAGGGAAGAAAAUGACGGUACCUGACUAAGAAGCCCCGGCUAACUACUUGCCAGCAGCCGCGGUAAUACGGAGGGGGCAAGCGUUAUCCGGAUGUACUGGGUGUAAAGGGAGCGUAGACGGUCCUGCAAGCCAGAUGUGAAAGCCCGGGGCUCAACCCCGGGACUGCAUUUGGAACUGUAAGGCUAGAGUGUCGGAGAGGUAGGCGGAAUUCCUAGUGUAGCGGUGAAAUGCGUAGAUAGUAGGAGGAACACCAGUGGCGAAGGCGGCUUGCUGGACGAUGACUGACGUUGAGGCUCGAAAGCGUGGGGAGCAAACAGGAUUAGAUACCCCGGUAGUC
RNAcentral lists this ribosomal RNA (440 nucleotides) under uncultured bacterium. RNAcentral's name for it is "partial 16S ribosomal RNA". It matches the Rfam family "Bacterial small subunit ribosomal RNA", at positions 338 to 795 of the family's 1533-position model. The record is from RNAcentral.